This 174-nucleotide ribosomal RNA is filed under the name Enterococcus faecium. RNAcentral describes it as "partial 16S ribosomal RNA". It matches the Rfam family "Bacterial small subunit ribosomal RNA", at positions 1368 to 1533 of the family's 1533-position model. Lineage: Bacteria; Bacillati; Bacillota; Bacilli; Lactobacillales; Enterococcaceae. The record is from RNAcentral.
ACGUUCCCGGGCCUUGUACACACCGCCCGUCACACCACGAGAGUUUGUAACACCCGAAGUCGGUGAGGUAACCUUUUGGAGCCAGCCGCCUAAGGUGGGAUAGAUGAUUGGGGUGAAGUCGUAACAAGGUAGCCGUAUCGGAAGGUGCGGCUGGAUCACCUCCUUUCUAAGGAA